GACGAACGCUGGCGGCGUGCCUAACACAUGCAAGUCGAGCGGGGUCCAUCCGGUAGCAAUACCGGGGAAGACCUAGCGGCGAACGGGUGAGUAACACGUGAGAAACCUGCCCCGAAGUCUGGGAUAACCCGAGGAAACUCGAGCUAAUACCGGAUGUCUUCUUCUGAUCGCAUGGUCGGAUGAAGAAAGAUUUAUCGCUUCGGGAGGGUCUCGCGGCCUAUCAGCUAGUUGGCGGGGUAACGGCCCACCAAGGCGUCGACGGGUAGCUGGUCUGAGAGGACGAUCAGCCACACUGGGACUGAGACACGGCCCAGACUCCUACGGGAGGCAGCAGUGGGGAAUAUUGCGCAAUGGGCGAAAGCCUGACGCAGCAACGCCGCGUGCGGGAUGAAGGCCUC
RNAcentral lists this ribosomal RNA (398 nucleotides) under uncultured bacterium. Its description in RNAcentral is "bacterial SSU rRNA". It matches the Rfam family "Bacterial small subunit ribosomal RNA", at positions 28 to 418 of the family's 1533-position model. The record is from RNAcentral.